This 450-nucleotide ribosomal RNA is filed under the name uncultured bacterium. RNAcentral's name for it is "bacterial SSU rRNA". It matches the Rfam family "Bacterial small subunit ribosomal RNA", at positions 20 to 507 of the family's 1533-position model. The record is from RNAcentral.
UGGCUCAGAGUGAACGUUGGCGGCGUGGAUUAGGCAGUGCAAGUCGAGCGAUCGUAGCAAUACGGGAGCGGCAAACGGGGUAGGAAUACAUCGGAACGUACCUUUUGGUUGAGAUAGCGUUGGGAAACUGACGGUAAUACUCAAUAAAGUCGAGAGACCAAAGGUUUACUGCCGGAAGAGCGGCCGAUGCGAUAUUAGGUAGUUGGUGGGGUAAUGGCCUACCAAGCCUGAGAUGUCUAGGGGGUGUGAGAGCAUGGCCCCCACCACUGGGACUGAGAUACUGCCCAGACACCUACGGGUGGCUGCAGUCGAGGAUCUUCGUCAAUGGGCGAAAGCCUGAACGAGCGACGCCGCGUGCGGGAUGAAGGCCCUUGGGUUGUAAACCGCUGUCAGGGGGGAUGAAACCGUAAGGUUGACAGAGCCCCAGAGGAAGCACGGGCUAAGUUCGUG